GGAUGACACGCCGCCAAGGAUAAAAAGGUGUCAAUCGGAUGUUGUCAAGGACAACCACAAUACCGAUUCUAUCAGGUGAUCCCAGGAUCAUCUUAAAUGAUGUAAUGAAAAUGACACAUGUGUAGUCUUCUGAAUCCUCAUUGUACUAUCAAAAUUCAGACAAGUAUGUUUAUAUUCGGUCCUGUACUGUUCAACUUUCAGAUAUUUUAGAUUUCAAUGACAACCACCAAUAUUGAUAAAAUUGAGAAUGGAAAUGGGGAAUGUGUCAAAGAGACAACAUCCCGACCAAAGAAAAAAACAACAGUAGAAGGUCACCAACAGGUCUCAAUGUAGCUAGAAAUUCCCGCACCCGG
RNAcentral lists this long non-coding RNA (353 nucleotides) under Mytilus galloprovincialis (Mediterranean mussel). The record is from RNAcentral. Lineage: Eukaryota; Metazoa; Mollusca; Bivalvia; Mytilida; Mytilidae.